AGUGAACGCUGGCGGUAGGCCUAACACAUGCAAGUCGAACGGCAGCACAGUAGAGCUUGCUCUUACGGGUGGCGAGUGGCGGACGGGUGAGGAAUACAUCGGAAUCUACUUUUUCGUGGGGGAUAACGUAGGGAAACUUACGCUAAUACCGCAUACGACCUACGGGUGAAAGCAGGGGAUCUUCGGACCUUGCGCGAUUGAAUGAGCCGAUGUCGGAUUAGCUAGUUGGCGGGGUAAAGGCCCACCAAGGCGACGAUCCGUAGCUGGUCUGAGAGGAUGAUCAGCCACACUGGAACUGAGACACGGUCCAGACUCCUACGGGAGGCAGCAGUGGGGAAUAUUGGACAAUGGGCGCAAGCCUGAUCCAGCCAUACCGCGUGGGUGAAGAAGGCCUUCGGGUUGUAAAGCCCCUUUGUUGGGAAAGAAAAGCAGCAGGUUAAUACCCCGCUGUUCUGACGGUACCCAAAGAAUAAGCACCGGCUAACUUCGUG
This 491-nucleotide ribosomal RNA is filed under the name uncultured bacterium. RNAcentral describes it as "partial 16S ribosomal RNA". It matches the Rfam family "Bacterial small subunit ribosomal RNA", at positions 29 to 507 of the family's 1533-position model. The record is from RNAcentral.